UAGGAUGAACGCUGGCGGCGUGCCUAAUACAUGCAAGUCGAACGGAGCACUCGGUGCUUAGUGGCGAACGGGUGAGUAAUAUAUGAACAACACCCCUUGACCGGGAUAACACACUGAAAAGCGUGCUAAUACCGGAUAGGCGAUCGAGAGGCAUCUCUUGAUUAUUAAAGGAGCGCAUGCUCCACAUUGGGAUGGGUUCAUAUCGCAUUAGCUAGUUGGUGAGGUAACGGCCCACCAAGGCGAUGAUGCGUAGCCGAUCUGAGAGGAUGACCGGCCACAUUGGGACUGAGACACGGCCCAGACUCCUACGGGAGGCAGCAGUAGGGAAUUUUCGGCAAUGGGCGCAAGCCUGACCGAGCAACGCCGCGUGAACGAUGAAGGUCUUAUUGGAUUGUAAAGUUCUGUUACGAGGGAAGAACAGCACUGAUAGGAAAUGAUCAGUGUGUGACGGUACCUCGCCAGAAAGCCACGGCUAACUACGUGCCAGCAGCGGC
This 494-nucleotide ribosomal RNA is filed under the name uncultured bacterium. RNAcentral describes it as "bacterial SSU rRNA". It matches the Rfam family "Bacterial small subunit ribosomal RNA", at positions 26 to 518 of the family's 1533-position model. The record is from RNAcentral.